AUGCUCCUUGUUGUGUUAAGUGUUGGCAGAUCUCUGGUUGCGUCAUUGGCGCACCGGACUUAAACCUCGGACUUCCCCCUCCCCCAACGAAGUCCGAGGUUUUUUUUCGUCUUGAC
Molecule: small RNA, 116 nt
Filed under: Stutzerimonas xanthomarina
Lineage: Bacteria; Pseudomonadati; Pseudomonadota; Gammaproteobacteria; Pseudomonadales; Pseudomonadaceae
Also listed under: 1 other name
Description: Pseudomonas xanthomarina Pseudomon-1 RNA
Rfam family: Pseudomon-1/ErsA RNA
About the family: Functions to regulate the AlgC enzyme. Based on this information, the new name ErsA for the RNA was adopted.
Source: RNAcentral